This 359-nucleotide long non-coding RNA is filed under the name Gossypium raimondii (Peruvian cotton). Its description in RNAcentral is "long non-coding RNA (GRAI_LNC007314)". Lineage: Eukaryota; Viridiplantae; Streptophyta; Magnoliopsida; Malvales; Malvaceae. The record is from RNAcentral.
AAAUUAAGGAUUAAGUUGAAAAUAAAUAGAAUUUAAAGGCUGAAUUCAAAAAUUGACAAUGAGAAAAGGAGCAAAUUAAAUCACGCGUAACAGAAGGAGGAUCAAAAGAGCAAAUUAUCCAAAUCACUCAAGCACUGCGCAGCAACAUGGAUUGAACUAAAACAGCAUUAAAAUAUAUUGCCUAAUUUAAAAAUAUAAAAAAAUUGAUUUAAUCAACCAAAAAAAACAAAGGACCAACAGUGUAAAUGGCCCAUUUUGAAUCCUAUAAAAUCCCAUUUUAAAACCCUAAACUCAUUUCCCCUCAGCCCCUCUUCUAGUGCGCCACAAAUUCUCUCAAAGUGCCCUUCUCUGCCGCUCCG